RNAcentral lists this non-coding RNA (45 nucleotides) under Schistosoma mansoni. The record is from RNAcentral. Lineage: Eukaryota; Metazoa; Platyhelminthes; Trematoda; Strigeidida; Schistosomatidae.
AUUCAGCUGACGAGUCUCGUAUAAGACGAAACGUGAGUCCUGGAU